AACGAACGCUGGCGGCGUGCUUAACACAUGCAAGUCGAACGCGAAAGGGACUUCGGUCCUGAGUAAAGUGGCGCACGGGUGAGUAACGCGUAGAUAACCUGUCUUCAUGUCUGGAAUAAUACGCCGAAAGGGGUACUAAUACCGGAUAUUCUUGCUUUUCAUAAGUUAUGCAAGCAAAGGUGGCCUCUGCAUAUGCUACUGCAUGAAGAGGGGUCUGCGUACCAUUAGCUAGUAGGUGGGGUAAUGGCCUACCUAGGCGACGAUGGUUAGCGGGUCUGAGAGGAUGAUCCGCCACACUGGCACUGGAACACGGGCCAGACUCCUACGGGAGGCAGCAGUGAGGAAUAUUGCGCAAUGGGGGAAGCCCUGACGCAGCGACGCCGCGUGAGUGAAGGAAGGCCUUCGGGUCGUAAAGCUCUGUCAAGAGGAAAGAAGUGUACAAUGGCUAAUACCUGUUGUAUUUGACGGUACCUCUAAAGGAAGCACCGGCUAACUCCGUGCCAGCCGCAGC
This 511-nucleotide ribosomal RNA is filed under the name uncultured bacterium. RNAcentral describes it as "bacterial SSU rRNA". It matches the Rfam family "Bacterial small subunit ribosomal RNA", at positions 29 to 518 of the family's 1533-position model. The record is from RNAcentral.